RNAcentral lists this transfer RNA (77 nucleotides) under Mycobacterium avium. RNAcentral describes it as "tRNA-Gly". It matches the Rfam family "tRNA". From Rfam's summary of the family: Transfer RNA (tRNA) molecules are approximately 80 nucleotides in length. RNAcentral also lists the same sequence under 2 other names. Lineage: Bacteria; Bacillati; Actinomycetota; Actinomycetes; Mycobacteriales; Mycobacteriaceae. The record is from RNAcentral.
GCCGUUGAGGUGUAACAGGAAAUGCACAUCAGUCUUCCACACUGACAGAGCGGGUUCGAGUCCCGUCAACGGCUCCA